AUCCAUUUCAUUUAGCAAAUAGUGUUGGUCCCAGGAAAAAGCACCAAGCCUGGGAAUCCCUGCCACAAUGACAGAAUCACAUUCAACAGCUGCUUCCAGCAUAGGAUGCAAUCCCCGCCGCCAGCAUCCCUCCCACCUCCAGAAAUAGUAAACAUCUGCCAAGAGAGAGCCCCAUUAGUAAAAUUCCCACCUUCUAAGGGUCAUCGAUUGGCUUUCUUCUGAGCUUCCUGCCUGCUUCCCUCAUCUCUGCAGCCUGUUAGAGCCUGCCACGACCGCGUGGGCAACCCCUAGCUGCAGUUUCUUUCCUCUUCUCUGCCCUCAGCACUUUCCCCUCCAGGAGCACAACUCUGAGCUGUCAUUCCUGUCAACCAGAUGGGAGAUCAGCCACAAAGCUGCUCCGCCUCUCGCAAGGACAGGAACUCUUGUGGCAGGCAGGCUUUCGGGGCGGCUCCAAGAGGGAGUGAGUGAGUCUGGGCCUCUUAGUCGCUGUGGUCAUGCUUCACUGCAGCCAGCGUGGAGCAGGAUGCUGACAGCAGAGUGGCUCCAGUGAGCUGCCAUUCCAGAUGUCAGGAACAAGCUCACAGACUGAGUGAAGCCGAGAAGGAUUGCAAACACCAGUGAGAAAGGGCUGGGAGACAACAGUGACGGAGAAGAGGAGCAGGCUUUCAGGCGAUAAGGUGGCUGUGAACUGGUUACAGUUUCCUGAGAUCAACUGCGGUCUGAAAAUCGAAGUCUUCAAUCAACACAACUGAGCUGAGACUCCUCUAGAAGAGAGCUAUCAGGGUCCUGACAGACAGCUGGUGAGGUGCAGAAUGACAUGAGUGAGGGGCUUGGCGCUGACGUGAAGGUUGAGGAGGCAGUCACCGGAACCCCACGCAGGCUAGAGCUGUGACCGACAGAAACGACGAUGUGUGUUCCUAGAGGCUUAGGCAGUGCCAGAGAAAUCACUCAGUGCCAGCUGGCUCCUGCAUGAAUGCUUCUCUAGACAAGCUGACCUUUGCUACUUAGUAGGGUGUACGUUGCCUCUAAGCCCAUUUCCAAUUUACUGACACCUGGUGGAUUUUUAUUCACCACUGAGCUCUGGCCCGAAGAGAGCUGCCAAACGUCCUAGGCCAUCCAUUCACUCAGCACUUAUAAUCGUGAUAGUCACCACCCAUGAAAGCUUUAGGACCUGUUUCAGUGUUUCUGCAUCGUGUCGCCUGAGGGCUUUCUUCUGUGACCAGAAACUGCUCUGCCCCCAAGCAGCACUGGCCUGGAACUGGAGAAUUAAAGACCUCCCUAAUCCCACACGCAAACUUUGAUGUGAUUGGCAUAUAAGUAUCUUAGCACCCUAGUAUCAUGAGUUACAUGGCGCUGAGGCACAUAUUCCACGCUGGGCCCAGCACUUCCCAGAGGGACUGAGUCCCAGGGUGGCAUCUCACUUGGUGAUGUGCCUUGUACUGGUUACCUUCCCUUCCCAUGUCAGCUCACUCUUCUACUGGCGUGUGCUGGAAUCACCUCCCAAACCAACUAUUUAAAUCUUUGCUUCUGGAGAGACCCCAACUAAAAUAAUAUGUAUUUGCUCUAAGUAGUUUGAUACAGAGCAGAUAAUGAAAAACAGGAGCUGACAAUUAUAAAGUGGAAUUCUUGAGCAAGUGGUAAGCUCCAUUUCUUAGCCUUCUACACCCUCCUCCUCACAACACCAGAGUCAAGAAUUCCUGUCUCCUAAGGAAAUGUCUCUUAUGGCUUGGGUGGAUGCUGUUGUAGGGGUAUGAAACAAGCCAGUUCCCUUAGCCAGUGAGUAUGCACUGGCUGUUUAGAAUGUGCCCAACAGGCGCCAGCCUCUGGAGAGGUCAUUAAUAGCCUCGGGCAUGGUCCCUGCCUCAAGUUGGAGAGUUAGGGCUCAUGAAGUAAGGAGCAAUACAUUUCCAGCCCGUGCUGUUUGACAGCAGUACUUUUCAACACUCGGCCACAUGUGCUGAAGCCUGCUGGUGUCUGCCCAGGUCCCCUCGACUGGAGGGGACCCUGUGCCCCCUCUAGAGCAUUGAUGAGUAACUCACAGCUGUCUCUCCAGAGAGUCAUCCUUGGCCAAACCUUCAUGUGGGCAGCUACCACCCACCACACCAGCCCCUCUUCCAGAUCAGACCUCAGCAAACCUGACUGGCCUAGGGAUACAGAAGACCAGCCUCUUGCGUCCACGUGGGACCAAGUCUGCAGUGUGACUUGUGCUCCAGAACUCUCCCACAGGCUCAGCCUGAAGUCAGGCUCCAGCGAAGCCCAUCCCUGCCUGGCUUCUCUCCACAGUCCUAUUCUGCUGCCCUGACUCCUCUUCCCUAAGGGCUAUUGCCCAGCGAAGCCCAUGGUCUCAGACUGGGCUUCAAAGAAACCUGACUCCAUGUUAGCAUCUUCUGCGGAGUUUUAUAAAAACACAUACACCUGAACUUAACCACCUAGACUUACUGAGCCAGAAGCUAUAGAGCUUCAAGAGUGGGAACCAGACAACUGUAUGCUUUAAAGCCUAAUAGAUAUUUCUAAUUCACCAGUUUAUCUCUCAACUUUUCAUUUUGAAAAUGCCAAACUUACAGAAAUAAUGAAAGUAUAAUGUAGUGAUAAAUAUCUACAUACUCAGCAUCUAGAUAUACCAAUUAUUAAUAUUUUGCUCCAUUUUCCUCUCUCUCUCUCACAUAUCAAAAAUAAUUUGCAAGUAAAUUGUAGACAUUAUGACACUUUAUCCUUCAGUUCUUCAGCAGAUAUUAUCCAAGAAUAAAGACAUUCUCCUACAUAACCCCAGUGUCAUAAUCACCCACAGGAAAUUAAUACUAACUUGUUAACAUCCCCAGAGCAUACAGUCCAUAGUUAAGAUGUACCCUCUGUUUUAGGCCAAAGGUGGCAAUUUUCUCAACUUUAGACUCAACAGAAGUUUGGAGAAGGGAAAAAUCUGUAUGAGUUGAAUAGAAAGGAAAAUACUUCAUGGAGGAAAGAGGAUAAGAAUUGGGCUGUGAAGGAUUGACAUUAGAAAGAAGGGGUGGAGCAAAUGCUCAGAUAGAAGCAGGUAAAUACCUAUGCAAACAUGCAGACAUGGGCAUUGGAAUUGCCUUUUGUGGGAGGAGAAGACUGAGCAGAAUUUGUGGACUAGGAUAGGUAGGCUGUGCAGCUGGACAGGCCUCAUGCAAUCUGAGUACAGAGAAAUUGCCAAUCCAAGCAAUCAAAAAAACAGUGGCCACACACCAAGAAACGUUAAAGGUGACUGCACUUAGGAGAGUGGCAUCAGAUUUGUGGGACACAUUCAGGUGAAUUCUAGUCAGGACCAUGGCAAAGCAUUUGGGGUCAGAAUUAAACUGGGGAGUUAAUUACUGAUUGAAAUUCAUUUAUUCAUAUAUUCGUUCUACCAGCAUUUUCUGAGUACAUAUUAUGUGCCAAAAUACCAAUGUGAACACAGGAAAUAAAGCACUGAAAAAACAGACAAGGUCCUUGCUUUCAUGAAACUUAGGUAGGGGUGUGUGUGUGUGUGCGCGUGUGUGUGUGUGUUGGUUGAGUGGG
RNAcentral lists this long non-coding RNA (3519 nucleotides) under Homo sapiens (human). RNAcentral's name for it is "HSALNT0183584". Lineage: Eukaryota; Metazoa; Chordata; Mammalia; Primates; Hominidae. The record is from RNAcentral.